AGUCAUAAAACCACUAGUGAAUAAGGGGUGGCCAAGUUCUGGUGUCAGCCGCCGCGGUAAACCCAGCACCUCAAGUGGUCAGGAGGAUUAUUGGGCCUAAAGCAUCCGUAGCCGGCUCUGUAAGUUUUCGGUUAAAUCCAUGUGCCCAACGCAUGGGCCGUCGAAAAUACUGCAUAGCUAGGGAGUGGGAGAGGUAGACGGUACUCGGUAGGAAGGGGUAAAAUCCUUUGAUCUAUCGAUGACCACCUGUGGCGAAGGCGGUCUACCAGAACACGUUCGACGGUGAGGGAUGAAAGCUGGGGGAGCAAACCGGAUUAGAUACCCGGGUAGUCCCAGCUGUAAACGAUGCAGACUCGAUGAUGCAUUGGCAUAUAGCCAGUGCAGUGUCGCAGGGAAGCCGUUAAGUCUGCCGCUUGGGAAGUACGUACGCAAGUAUGAAACUUAAAGGAAUUGGCGGGGGAGCACCACAAGGGGUGAAGCCUGCGGUUCAAUUGGAGUCAACGCCAGAAAUCUUACCCGGAGAGACAGCAGAAUGAAGGUCAAGCUGAAGACUUUACCAGACAAGCUGAGAGGUGGUGCAUGGCCGUCGCCAGCUCGUGCCGUGAGAUGUCCUGUUAAGUCAGGUAACGAGCGAGAUCCUCGCCACUAGUUGCUAUCAUUAUUCUCAGGAAUAGUGGGGCGAAUUAGUGGGACUGCCGUUGUUAAAACGGAGGAAGGAGGGGGCUACGGCAGGUCAGUAUGCCCCGAAACUCUGGGGCCACACGCGGGCUGCAAUGGUAGCGACAAUGAGCUCCAAACUCGAAAGAGAGUGGCAAUCUCUAAACGCUACCACAGUUAUGACUGAGGGCUGUAACUCGCCCUCACGAAUAUGGAAUCCCUAGUAACCGCGUGUCAUUACCGCGCGGUGAAUACGUCCCUGCUCCUUGCACACACCGCCCGUCGUUUCAUCGAAGUUUGCUUUUAGCGAGGUGAUGUUUAAUGACCA
RNAcentral lists this ribosomal RNA (985 nucleotides) under uncultured marine group I thaumarchaeote. RNAcentral describes it as "bacterial SSU rRNA". It matches the Rfam family "Archaeal small subunit ribosomal RNA", at positions 415 to 1399 of the family's 1478-position model. The record is from RNAcentral. Lineage: Archaea; Thermoproteati; Nitrososphaerota.